Molecule: ribosomal RNA, 693 nt
Filed under: Triticum aestivum (bread wheat)
Lineage: Eukaryota; Viridiplantae; Streptophyta; Magnoliopsida; Poales; Poaceae
Description: partial small subunit ribosomal RNA
Source: RNAcentral
AUGUCCGUAAUCGACCGUUUCAGGGCCAACAUGAACUGGCAGAGAAUGCAGAUAAAGGCAUCGUCUCUUGUCUGCUCGCUGGCUCAUCGCGUUCCAGAGCUGCGAGGCUGCCUCUCGCUGCCGACCACCGGCUUCAACCCGCCCCAUGUACUUCCCAUUGCUUCCGGUUUGAGGAGUCAUAGGCGUUAUGUGAAGCAGAAAAAUACAGGAUCAGAAAAACAAAAAGCUGUCAUCAGGGCCUUGAAGAGGCAGUGUCGACGUCAUAUGAGUUCAAAUAUUGAGUCGGUUGACGAAGCAAAGGAAUUGCUGGCGGAUCUCCUUGAUGCAACUGUACGAUCUGGCUUUCGAACGGUAUCAUCUGUUCCGAGCCAUCCACUUGAAAAUGAAGGCGCUCAAUUCCUCCAGCCCAUCCCAGGUACCUUCACAGAAGCUAAAACUUCUGGGCCAUCGACAAAUGCAGGCACGAGUAAGCAUGAGGGCGAAGCAGGUUGUCACACCAUCACUGCUCGUCAGGAGGAUUCAGAUGGGAGAAAGAAUUCAAGGGAUGAACUUGCAACGGCUGAGCAAGACCGUGAUUCGAAACGACAACGGUCAAAUGGGGCACCUCGUGAAGCAACUCUGGUCAUGCCAGGGUAUUGUGCUGUGGAGAAUUUGAGCGCCAAGCCGAGUGGUGGAGAGACGGCCGCUCCAUGA